Molecule: ribosomal RNA, 253 nt
Filed under: uncultured bacterium
Lineage: Bacteria
Description: partial 16S ribosomal RNA
Rfam family: Bacterial small subunit ribosomal RNA
Source: RNAcentral
UACAGAGGUCUCAAGCGUUGUUCGGAUUCAUUGGGCGUAAAGGGUGCGUAGGCGGCGCGGUAAGUCGGGUGUGAAAUCUUGGAGCUUAACUCCGAAACUGCAUUCGAUACUGCCGUGCUUGAGGACUGGAGAGGAGACUGGAAUUUACGGUGUAGCGGUGAGAUGCGCAGAUAUCAGGAGGAACACCGGUGGCGAAGGCGGGUCUCUGGGCAACAACUGACGCUGAGGAGCGAAAGCGUGGGGAGCGAACAGG